AGGAAUGCACCUCCACCCGAUUGGUCAUUUUGAAUGACGUCAUGCUGGAACCUCAUUGGAGAAAAUCGCCGGCAGCGUCGUCUGCUGCUAGGUCCGCUAUGUGUACUGUCUGUCUAGCUCCACAUCCCGCUUGAUUGUGUGAUUGUGGUGUGAAUCACGUGGUUUCAGGAUUGUGUUGAACUUUUCGAGUGCAGGAACGGGGAAAGGUAAGCACUGGUGCAUGAGUGAAGGUGCAGGAAGAGCACACAAGGAAUGGUGUUGACCCACAGUGCUUUCAGCUGUCAUCCAACGAAAAUGCAAAGAUUGCAGGGAAACUAGCAGAAGGUGUGUCAUUGCAAGUCGUCCUGCAUGAUGUACAGGACUCUACUGCUGGCCCUGUAACACGUCUCCACCUUGUCAACUGAAUGGACCUCCACAACAUACUGAAGUCUUUUGACGUCAGUUAUGCCAAAAGAAUGGAUCAUGACGAUUUCGUGAGUGUUGCUGGGGCGUAGGUCUCUUGUUACUUGCGAUGAGGCAACGCUCACUCAGGACAACAGCCCAGUGAAGUUCUUCAAACAGGGAGCAUAACUGAAUACGACGACAUGACAGUUGAUGAGUACAGUGCGGGCAUGCCUUUUGCUUACUGUGUGCAGGAACUCUCGUCACAAAGGUGUUUAUGUCAGACAAUGCAUCAGUGUUCUAUAUUGCAUGGAAGACCGUGAUGGGACAAGCAGAACGAGGGUUGCUGUGUGUGUGGCACAUAGACCAAAACUGGCAGAAAAGUCUGAGCAAGAUUAAAGGUAUGCUUGAAGAUGGAAGACAUAGGAAGCAUCCAAAAUUUCGAGAUUUAUUACGAGCUUUCAGGCAGAGACUGCCCUUCUUCAGGUACAUUGUGCACAUGUUACAAAACAAUAUAUAGCACUAACAUGGGUGAGAGCAGAAAGGAAGAGGGUGAGGGAGUACAUAGUGAUGAACUGCUUGACACAUUUGAUGUCACAAAAAUAUUCAUAAAGAGAUAGAAAGUAACAACUGGGAAAGAAGACAAAAUAUACAUGGCAUUGAGAUCCGUUGGAGAGACUAAAACCUAUGUGAAUGAGACUGAGGAUGUUUUUGCCCAGAAAAGUACCCACACAAUCAACAGCAGCAUUCAUAGGACAAAAAAGGCCAAAACAUUCAAGCUCAGGUGUACAAAUCACUGAGACUGCUUCCGGAGUGCACAGACGUCCAAGAAUUCGAGAACUUGAUGACCUUGUUUUUAGAUGAUGCUGACAAAACCUUUCAAGAUAUCCUCAUCUACUUCAAAAACAGUUAUCCAUCCCGACCUGAAGUAUGGGCACGCUGCCACAGAGCGAGUGCAGGAAUAAACAUGAACAUGUAGUUGGAGGGCAUGCACAGGGCUCUCAAGCAUUGCUGGGAGAAGCAUUGGAAGAAAAGAACAAGACAAUAGACAAGCUGGUCUCGGCUUUGAUGGGAUAGACUAGGGACAAGCUCUUUGACGGCCUUAUCAAGAUGUGUAUGGGAGCUCAUCAUGCAAGUGAAAGGAUGGCAGAUGAUAGUGUGGCACCAUCAAGGGAUCCAAGUGUUUGGGAUGUGAAGCCCCAGUCUGUUACAGGUGUAACAUACACAGUCACAGCAAUACCACCAGCAAUACACAUGAUGGAAAGGAAAAUGUGUGCUAAAAUGCAAACAGUGCAAAAUAUGUGUUCAUGGCUAUGUUUGUACAUGUCAUGAUCAUGUAAUCAGCUUUAAUAUGUGAAGACAUAUUCAUAGUGUUGCAUGUUCUGGGGACACCCAACACGCACAGCCAUGAAGGAGUGAACAACCUGAUGCCAGGAGCUCCUUGACAGUAUCUGUGCUCUAAAUGAAUCAAAAGUGGCCGUUGCUGUCAGCUCAGAUGCGUCACAAGCCUUUCCUCUGGCACACAGCAUUGUUGGUUAUUUGUUCUCAGCUGGUGUGAACAAGAGAUAGUCACAAAAGUACAAAAACUGCUACAAAGUGCCGCAGAUUUGUUGAGUUUCAAGCAAAGAAGUUGGCGCACAAAGGAACCACACAAUAAAAAGGUGGAAAAGCUGCUUCACUUUCAUACGACAAACAUAUAGGGACUAAAAAGGGCCAAGGCUUAUUCUGUCGAAGGCAACUGCAGAUGAGCAAGAAAAUGAUGCUGCAGCAGCUUGCUAAUACAAAAGUUGAGGUCCCUUAUAUUCAUACAGGUUUUGACCAUAUCUACAUAGAUCUCUUAAUUAUACAUGCAGUAUUAAGCCAGGUCCUGCUGCGACAAAAUUUGUAGUGUUAUCUUACAGGAGUAGAGAGAGCAAUCCCAAAAAUGUUCAGAUUAAGACGUCUGAUAAAAGUGUAUGUGUCAUCUUACCAAACAGAGCGAAAGAGUUUUUGAUCUGUCCACUCCGUCACCCUUAACUCGCCACUCCGGGUAUAUACGCUGAGGAGAAGUAUGAUGCCACAUCACCGGUGACGUUACAGGGCCAACUAGUUCUGAUUCGCUGGUCAGGGGGUCACUGCCCUGUCCCUUUGCUGCCAUAAACCAGUUUUGCCAAUUCUCCAGGAGAAUUGUGGAUAGAAGAAGAGGCCGAAUCAUUACUGAGCUAGGAGAAAGGCCCUUUCAGAACCCCAAGCAGCAGACAACAUUUCUCUGGACCAAUCGGCAUGCAUGGCCCCUGUAGCAUCAGCGUGAGGUCCCAGGCAGAUCACAGGCUGAUACUGCUCUCCACCGCAGUUGCUCUUUGCGGCGUACUUAAAUUCAAUUUCUGCGAUAAUUACGACUCUGUGGUGUGAAUGACUUCUCAUGGUGCAUGUUACCGGUUUGCUUAAGUUUUAUAAGAAGAAAACAGGAUGUUAAAAAUGUCUUCUGUGCUACUUUAAGUCUUAUGAUAUUAUGUGUACUACAGGCAUUUUGGAAUAUUACUUUUCUUCUUGUGGAUUGCUAUUGGCAACCUUUUAUGUAGCACUCUUUUAGUGUUGUGUGAAAAUGCACUAUGUAUUAGCACACAGUUUUCAGUGCGAUGCUCUUUGUGUGGAUAUCUUUUAGCACAAUUUUCAAAUUAUAAUUUUUAUGUGCUUCCAUGCAAAUCUCACAGAUAUUAAUGUGUUGUGCUGCAGUGUUUCUUUCAAUUGCUUCUACUAUAUGUGUUAAUUAAAACAAAACAGUUGGUGGCUC
Ornithodoros turicata is the source of this 3154-nucleotide long non-coding RNA. RefSeq lists it as uncharacterized. The transcript is spliced from 3 exons. The record is from RefSeq and is a predicted model, not a curated record. NCBI's taxonomy places the organism in Eukaryota, Metazoa, Arthropoda, Arachnida, Ixodida, Argasidae.